This is a non-coding RNA of Paramormyrops kingsleyae, 2150 nucleotides long. The record is from RefSeq and is a predicted model, not a curated record. Lineage: Eukaryota; Metazoa; Chordata; Actinopteri; Osteoglossiformes; Mormyridae.
UAAAGAAUGCUUUCAGCACCUUGUUGAAUCAAUGCCACGUAGAAUUAAGGCAGUUCUGAAGGCAAAAGGGCGUCAAACACCGUAUUAGUAUGGUGUUCCUAAUAAUCCUUUAGGUGAGUGUAUGUCUGAGCCCUGGUGGCCAGUCUUCCCUGAUUGCUCUUUCUGAUGGAAUGGACAGAGUGUGAAGGUUGAAUUAGCACAGCGAUAGCAGUUGUUCAUGCGGUAUGAGUCUGCACAGCAUGACAUGCGUAAGAGUCCGAAAGACGGCAGAUUGUUGGUGUGUCUCAGGCCUUUUUGGUAUAUCGACAGCCACAGUAUCCCGGGUUGCCUGCAUAUCACCACGAAGGACAGACCAUGUCCAACAGGGGUAACUGUGGACGCAAUAGGAAGCUGUCUGGAAGGGAUAUCUGGGUACUAACCUAGAUUGUGUGCGAAAACAACAAAACCACAGCUGCCCAACUCGCUGCAGAAUUAAACAUGCCCCUCGUCUCCUGUUCCCACCAAAGCUGUUCAUUAGGAGCUCCACAGGGUCGGUCAUGGUCACCCUGUGAUAGCCAAUCCUUUGGUCACUUGUGCCAGUGCUGGACGCCUGUUUCAGUGGUGCUGUGUAUCAGGAUGAUGAUGCAUCAGUACAUACAGUAGGAAUGGUGGCAGGGUGGUUUGAUAAACAUGAAAAUGCUAAAUGCCUGCAGUCACCAGAUCUGAUGAUAUUGCGCCACUUUGGGGUGUUUUGGAGGAGCGAGUCAGGAAACGUUUCCCAAGAAGAACUGAUGCUUUGUUGCCUGCAAAAGGAGACCCUACACCAUACUAAUGCCCAGGGCCGUGCAGAGACGUUUAAAGGGGCCGGUGCUCAAAGUUAAAAAACAUAGAACAGGCUGAAUAACAACAACUCGUAUUCAUGACGAAUCUAAUAUGGAAUUAUAUGGAUAUCCAUAUUAGAUCGUUUUUAGUGAAAUAAAAGCUCUCCAGAAAAGAAGGGAAAAGUCCUGUAACUUACUUUAAAGCAAACCAUGUUCCCUAAAACGGUGGACAGAGCUACAGACCCCCUUGUAACACCCUUACCUGGUUAACUAGCAGCUAAUGACCACCAUUACUUGUGCAGUUGUUCAUAAAAGGACAGGUAAUGCUUGUCGCGCUGUUGCACAAACAGCAAGCUCAUUUAUUUCAAUUCAUUUGUUAUAGACUAUAGUGUGCGCUGUACACCCUAUUUACUGUUUUGUUGCAGUCUGCACCUUCCAACUAAUUUGCCUGCUUCUCCUCCAGCUCCGCACCACCCAGCCUGCAGAAAAUGCACGUGCACUUUGCGAGCUCGUACCCGGCUCGUAACGAGCGCGCUCUGCCCUCAAGGGCGAGCAUUGGUUAAUGGCAGUCAUGUGACUGAUGCAAGCCAGAUCCUUGUAUUUGGCAAAAUUGAGAUUAAUAGUUACAUUUUAUUGUUGAGGGGCAAAGACAGGGCUCCAUACACACAUACACAUAAAAAAAAAAACCAAGAAAAGCGCUCUUGAGGCAUCCUGGAGGAAAGGGGCGGGUGCUCAAGCACCCUCUGCCCCCCCCCUCUGCACGUGCCUGCUAAUACCUUAUUAUGGUCUAACACCAGGUGUCAGUUUCAUUGUCCAGCCCAUUAGCCUGGCAGGAAGCCUAGCCCAUUAGCCUGGCAGGAAGCCUGACCCAUUUGAUAGGGUUGCUCUGUGCACAAAGGCUGAAGAAUGGUGAGUGGACCGACCGCAAUUCAGGGAUCACUUCAAAGAGGGGUAGCCAGGCUGUUCCACUGGCAAUGUCUUACGCGGUGAUCCAACAUUUACUGCCCACAAGGACCUGAUAUAGAUUCUGGAAGGCCAUGGGGAGGUCAGUCGGCAACCAAAACUCUUCCUUCUGGCUGGAGAUGUGCCAAGCUUAUGGAACUGCAGAGUCGCUUAAAUCUUUGCCAUGCUGCACUUUGGUCAGGUUGUCUGCUGCCCCUGGGUCUAUUUUUAUUUUGAAUCAUCCUUUUAUAAAUUUGUAUUACAAUUUAGUAGGUUGUGCUUUGUAGCAUUGUGACCCUGUGUGAUACAGAGAACUGUUUCUGCACCUUUUUAAAUCUGCAAUUGACUGCUUUAAUAAUGCAUGUAAUUUGUUCAUUGCAAGUGAAAUAAAGUCCCUUUUUCAUUCAC